This 1434-nucleotide ribosomal RNA is filed under the name Vibrio parahaemolyticus. Its description in RNAcentral is "bacterial SSU rRNA". It matches the Rfam family "Bacterial small subunit ribosomal RNA". The record is from RNAcentral. Lineage: Bacteria; Pseudomonadati; Pseudomonadota; Gammaproteobacteria; Vibrionales; Vibrionaceae.
AAUGCCUAGGAAAUUGCCCUGAUGUGGGGGAUAACCAUUGGAAACGAUGGCUAAUACCGCAUGAUGCCUACGGGCCAAAGAGGGGGACCUUCGGGCCUCUCGCGUCAGGAUAUGCCUAGGUGGGAUUAGCUAGUUGGUGAGGUAAGGGCUCACCAAGGCGACGAUCCCUAGCUGGUCUGAGAGGAUGAUCAGCCACACUGGAACUGAGACACGGUCCAGACUCCUACGGGAGGCAGCAGUGGGGAAUAUUGCACAAUGGGCGCAAGCCUGAUGCAGCCAUGCCGCGUGUGUGAAGAAGGCCUUCGGGUUGUAAAGCACUUUCAGUCGUGAGGAAGGUAGUGUAGUUAAUAGCUGCAUUAUUUGACGUUAGCGACAGAAGAAGCACCGGCUAACUCCGUGCCAGCAGCCGCGGUAAUACGGAGGGUGCGAGCGUUAAUCGGAAUUACUGGGCGUAAAGCGCAUGCAGGUGGUUUGUUAAGUCAGAUGUGAAAGCCCGGGGCUCAACCUCGGAAUUGCAUUUGAAACUGGCAGACUAGAGUACUGUAGAGGGGGGUAGAAUUUCAGGUGUAGCGGUGAAAUGCGUAGAGAUCUGAAGGAAUACCGGUGGCGAAGGCGGCCCCCUGGACAGAUACUGACACUCAGAUGCGAAAGCGUGGGGAGCAAACAGGAUUAGAUACCCUGGUAGUCCACGCCGUAAACGAUGUCUACUUGGAGGUUGUGGCCUUGAGCCGUGGCUUUCGGAGCUAACGCGUUAAGUAGACCGCCUGGGGAGUACGGUCGCAAGAUUAAAACUCAAAUGAAUUGACGGGGGCCCGCACAAGCGGUGGAGCAUGUGGUUUAAUUCGAUGCAACGCGAAGAACCUUACCUACUCUUGACAUCCAGAGAACUUUCCAGAGAUGGAUUGGUGCCUUCGGGAACUCUGAGACAGGUGCUGCAUGGCUGUCGUCAGCUCGUGUUGUGAAAUGUUGGGUUAAGUCCCGCAACGAGCGCAACCCUUAUCCUUGUUUGCCAGCGAGUAAUGUCGGGAACUCCAGGGAGACUGCCGGUGAUAAACCGGAGGAAGGUGGGGACGACGUCAAGUCAUCAUGGCCCUUACGAGUAGGGCUACACACGUGCUACAAUGGCGCAUACAGAGGGCGGCCAACUUGCGAAAGUGAGCGAAUCCCAAAAAGUGCGUCGUAGUCCGGAUUGGAGUCUGCAACUCGACUCCAUGAAGUCGGAAUCGCUAGUAAUCGUGGAUCAGAAUGCCACGGUGAAUACGUUCCCGGGCCUUGUACACACCGCCCGUCACACCAUGGGAGUGGGCUGCAAAAGAAGUAGGUAGUUUAACCUUCGGGGGGACGCUUACCACUUUGUGGUUCAUGACUGGGGUGAAGUCGUAACAAGGUAGCGCUAGGGGAACCUGGCGCUGGAUCACCUCCUUAAACGAUGAU